GUCCAGACUCCUACGGGAGGCAGCAGUGGGGAAUAUUGCACAAUGGGGGAAACCCUGAUGCAGCGACGCCGCGUGAGUGAAGAAGUAAUUCGUUAUGUAAAGCUCUAUCAGCAGGGAAGAAAAUGACGGUACCUGAGUAAGAAGCCCCGGCUAACUACGUGCCAGCAGCCGCGGUAAUACGUAGGGGGCAAGCGUUAUCCGGAUUUACUGGGUGUAAAGGGAGCGUAGACGGCAUGGCAAGUCAGAUGUGAAAGCCCGGGGCUCAACCCCGGGACUGCAUUUGAAACUGUCAGGCUGGAGUGCAGGAGAGGUAAGUGGAAUUCCUAGUGUAGCGGUGAAAUGCGUAGAUAUUAGGAGGAACACCAGUGGCGAAGGCGGCCUGCUGGACGAUGACUGACGUUGAGGCUCGAAAGCGUGGGGAGCAAACAGGAUUAGAUACCCCAGUAC
Molecule: ribosomal RNA, 447 nt
Filed under: uncultured bacterium
Lineage: Bacteria
Description: bacterial SSU rRNA
Rfam family: Bacterial small subunit ribosomal RNA
Source: RNAcentral